AUUGAACGCUGGCGGCAGGCCUAACACAUGCAAGUCGGACGGUAGCACAGAGGAGCUUGCUCCUUGGGUGACGAGUGGCGGACGGGUGAGUAAUGUCUGGGGAUCUGCCCGAUAGAGGGGGAUAACCACUGGAAACGGUGGCUAAUACCGCAUAACGUCGCAAGACCAAAGAGGGGGACCUUCGGGCCUCUCACUAUCGGAUGAACCCAGAUGGGAUUAGCUAGUAGGCGGGGUAAUGGCCCACCUAGGCGACGAUCCCUAGCUGGUCUGAGAGGAUGACCAGCCACACUGGAACUGAGACACGGUCCAGACUCCUACGGGAGGCAGCAGUGGGGAAUAUUGCACAAUGGGCGCAAGCCUGAUGCAGCCAUGCCGCGUGUAUGAAGAAGGCCUUCGGGUUGUAAAGUACUUUCAGCGGGGAGGAAGGCGACGGGGUUAAUAACCCUGUCGAUUGACGUUACCCGCAGAAGAAGCACCGGCUAACUCCGUGCCAGCAGCCGCGGUAAUACGGAGGGUGCAAGCGUUAAUCGGAAUUACUGGGCGUAAAGCGCACGCAGGCGGUCUGUUAAGUCAGAUGUGAAAUCCCCGGGCUUAACCUGGGAACUGCAUUUGAAACUGGCAGGCUUGAGUCUUGUAGAGGGGGGUAGAAUUCCAGGUGUAGCGGUGAAAUGCGUAGAGAUCUGGAGGAAUACCGGUGGCGAAGGCGGCCCCCUGGACAAAGACUGACGCUCAGGUGCGAAAGCGUGGGGAGCAAACAGGAUUAGAUACCCUGGUAGUCCACGCCGUAAACGAUGUCGACUUGGAGGUUGUUCCCUUGAGGAGUGGCUUCCGGAGCUAACGCGUUAAGUCGACCGCCUGGGGAGUACGGCCGCAAGGUUAAAACUCAAAUGAAUUGACGGGGGCCCGCACAAGCGGUGGAGCAUGUGGUUUAAUUCGAUGCAACGCGAAGAACCUUACCUACUCUUGACAUCCACGGAAUUUGGCAGAGAUGCCUUAGUGCCUUCGGGAACCGUGAGACAGGUGCUGCAUGGCUGUCGUCAGCUCGUGUUGUGAAAUGUUGGGUUAAGUCCCGCAACGAGCGCAACCCUUAUCCUUUGUUGCCAGCGAUUCGGUCGGGAACUCAAAGGAGACUGCCGGUGAUAAACCGGAGGAAGGUGGGGAUGACGUCAAGUCAUCAUGACCCUUACGAGUAGGGCUACACACGUGCUACAAUGGCGCAUACAAAGAGAAGCGACCUCGCGAGAGCAAGCGGACCUCACAAAGUGCGUCGUAGUCCGGAUCGGAGUCUGCAACUCGACUCCGUGAAGUCGGAAUCGCUAGUAAUCGUGGAUCAGAAUGCCACGGUGAAUACGUUCCCGGGCCU
RNAcentral lists this ribosomal RNA (1363 nucleotides) under uncultured bacterium. RNAcentral describes it as "bacterial SSU rRNA". It matches the Rfam family "Bacterial small subunit ribosomal RNA", at positions 28 to 1381 of the family's 1533-position model. The record is from RNAcentral.